This is an RNA transcript of Cuculus canorus (common cuckoo), 1395 nucleotides long. It is a transcript of the gene named purinergic receptor P2X 6, with no coding region annotated. The transcript is spliced from 12 exons. The record is from RefSeq and is a predicted model, not a curated record. Lineage: Eukaryota; Metazoa; Chordata; Aves; Cuculiformes; Cuculidae.
UCUCCCGCAUUCCCAUCGCUCUGUAUUCCCAUUGCUCCCCAUUCCCGGGCUCUCCCGCAUUCCCAUCGUUCCGUAUUCCCGUUGCUCCCCAUUCCCGGGGUCCCGCACUCCCUGUCCCCCUCCAGUUGCCCCCAUGGCCAGCGCAGUGCCGCACCCCCGCCCGUCGCUCCUGGACUACCAAACGGCGAAGCUGGCGCUGACGCGGAACCGCCGGGUGGGGGCGCUGUACCGCCUGCUCCAGCUCGCCGUGCUGGGCUACCUGCUCGGGUGGGUGCUGCUGGCCCGGAGGGGCUAUCAGGACACGGACCCCGCGCCGCACGCCGCGCUGCUCGCCAAGCUGAAAGGGGCGGCGGUGGCGGCGGGGGGGCGGCGGCUCUGGGACGUGGCGGAUUACGGCUGGGGGGCACCGGGAGAAAACGGUCUUUUUCUGGUGACCAACUUCAUCGCCACAGUGCAGCAGAGCCAGGGAACUUGUCCUGAGAGCCCCGCCGUUCCUGACGCCCAGUGCGUGGAAGAUGUAGACUGUCCCAUGGGAAACCCAGUGUCUCGUGGCAACGGGAUAAGAACCGGGAAAUGCGUGAUGUUCAACAGCACCCAUUCCACCUGUGAGAUCUACGGCUGGUGUCCCGUGGAGAGCAGCACCCUGCCCAGGAAACCUCUUCUGGCUGAAGCAGAGAAUUUCACUCUUUUUAUAAAAAAUACUGUCCACUUCACCAAAUUUAACUUCUCCCGGUGCAAUGCUCUGCAAACCAACGACUCCACCUAUUUCAAAACCUGCACCUACAAUCCCUCCUCCAGUCCCUUCUGCCCCGUCUUCCGUGUCCGUGAUGUGGUGGAGGCAGCUGGAGAGACCUUUGGAGACCUUGCAUUGCUGGGGGGGAGCAUCAGCAUUCGCAUCAAGUGGGACUGUGACCUGGAUCGCCCCGCAGCCCAAUGCCAGCCACAGUAUUCAUUCAGCCUGCAGGACAGGAGGUACAAUUUUAGAACCGCCUCCUACUACUGGGACUCCCAGCGGCGGCUCUACCGGACCCUUCUGAAGCUCUACGGCAUCCGCUUCGACAUCUCCGUGCACGGCCAGCCAGACCCAUCCAUUCCUGCUGGCAUCGCUUCUCCCCACCCUGGUGAGCUCCUCACCUCUUCCCAAGCAGAGCAGGAAAAAAUGGUCUCUACCAUUUGAAGAGAAACUUCUUGGUAGUGCCCUGAGCAGGAUGGCUUCCCUCGAGGACCUGGCAAGGGUGUUGUGGCGUGCUGGGCCCUGUAGGCUGGGAAGUUCAGCAUAAUUCCUGCUGCCGUGAGCUUCGGCACUGGCAUCGCGCUCUUUGGGACUGCCACAGUGAUCUGCGACCUGGUUCUGCUUUACCUGGAUAAGGAGGCUGACUUGUAUUGGAAGGAGAA